This 84-nucleotide non-coding RNA is filed under the name Clostridium sp. RNAcentral describes it as "c-di-GMP sequence". It matches the Rfam family "c-di-GMP-I riboswitch aptamer". From Rfam's summary of the family: GEMM was predicted in a large-scale screen for bacterial structured RNA regulatory elements. Genes associated with GEMM are involved in a diverse array of functions, including chemotaxis regulation, signal transduction, secretion and chitin. RNAcentral also lists the same sequence under 1 other name. The record is from RNAcentral. Lineage: Bacteria; Bacillati; Bacillota; Clostridia; Eubacteriales; Clostridiaceae.
AAUUUAAGAGGGCAAACUUAUCGAAAGAUAAGGACGCAAAGCCAAGGGCCUAAAUUGAAAAAAAUAUGGCAGCCGGUUGCAUAG